Molecule: non-coding RNA, 24 nt
Filed under: Rattus norvegicus (Norway rat)
Lineage: Eukaryota; Metazoa; Chordata; Mammalia; Rodentia; Muridae
Source: RNAcentral
UGGGCGCUUGAUGGGACACUUCAC